GACGAACGCUGGCGGCGUGCUUAACACAUGCAAGUCGAACGGAAAGGCCCUGCUUUUGUUGGUUUCUCGAUUGGCGAACGGGUGAGUAACACGUGAGUAACCUCCCCUUGUCUUUGGGAUAACCUCAGGAAAAUGGGGCGCAUACCGGGUAUGAUCUCCUGCUGCAUGUGGUUGGUUGGAAAGUGUCGGCGGUUGGGGAUGGACUCGCGGCUUAUCAGCUUGUUGGUGUAGUAGUGGCUUACCAAGGCUUUGACGGGUAGCCUGCCUGAGAGGGUGACCGGCCACAUUGGGACUGAGGUACGGACCAGAAUGCUACGGGAGGCAGCAGUGGAGAAUAUUGCACAAUGGGCGGAAGCGUGAUGCAGCAACGCCGGGUGCGGGAUGACGGCCUUCGGGUUGUAAACAGAUUUCGCCUGUGACGAAGAGUGCGUGACGGUAAUAGGUAAAGAAGCACCGGCUAACUACGUG
This 468-nucleotide ribosomal RNA is filed under the name uncultured bacterium. RNAcentral describes it as "partial 16S ribosomal RNA". It matches the Rfam family "Bacterial small subunit ribosomal RNA", at positions 28 to 507 of the family's 1533-position model. The record is from RNAcentral.